ACGGUCUUUUCGUGCACUGGACUGUUUAUUUUCGGACGCGGCCAAUCUAGAGCUCGUUUUAAUUUCGCGGUCAAGAAUUAAUUAUAAUUCAACUAUGAUCGGCUAUCCCUCGACACAAUCGCAUUUCACAUACAAGUUUACGGUAAUCGUAGCAAAAACAUGCGGUUGUGUUUGGUAGGCUUGUCACCCGUUUUUGGUACAUUGUGAACAGUUCUAGAGGAGUAAUCACUAGUGCAUACGGCUAACAGGGUACCCGUAUGGCCUACGUACAACAACGAACGGUUAAAAAAACAAAAGACGAAAAAAAGCGAAAAGACGUGUUUGAUCGAAAGUCUCUCUCGAAAGUUACAUGCAGUGUCAGGAAAAUCUAGAUAAAAAUGAUAUUAUCUUUCAUCUUACCCAAAUGAUUUUAUAAAUGUUAUUUAAACGUCAUCUAACAUAGAUGAAUCAAUAAAGAAAAAUAUAUCAUAGUGUUCGUUGUAUAAUAUCUAUUUUGUAUAUUAUAUUCAUGUUAUAAAGGCUGGACUAUUGUACUGUGAUGCUGUUUGCACACAAAACAGUUAAGCAUAAAGAGUUGUAUAACUAAUAAUACAAGAUAAUGAAACGGUUUUUUUUAUUUUAUUAAUAUAUUUUGAAGUCCCUUUAAGUAAGUAGUGUAAUUUUAUCAAAAUAAUGAACAAUAACAUUGCCAUUGCAUCAAUACCAGUUUAAAUAAAACUAUCCAAAUUAAAAUGGUUAAGUAAAGUCUGGUUCGGCAUAAUAGAGUUGACGAAAUUUUUUGGAUUAGUAUUGAUUGAUAUUGUUAAUGAUUAAAAUCAUUGUUGUAAAAUGCUUCGAUGUAUACUUGAAACAAAUUUUAAAAAAAUGU
Molecule: long non-coding RNA, 868 nt
Organism: Daktulosphaira vitifoliae (grape phylloxera)
Lineage: Eukaryota; Metazoa; Arthropoda; Insecta; Hemiptera; Phylloxeridae
Exons: 4
Source: RefSeq, a predicted model, not a curated record